Molecule: ribosomal RNA, 301 nt
Filed under: uncultured bacterium
Lineage: Bacteria
Description: partial 16S ribosomal RNA
Rfam family: Bacterial small subunit ribosomal RNA
Source: RNAcentral
CAGUCGCCACGGUAAUACGAAGGGGGCUAGCGUUGUUCGGAAUUACUGGGCGUAAAGCGCACGUAGGCGGAUUUUUAAGUCAGGGGUGAAAUCCCGAGGCUCAACCUCGGAACUGCCUUUGAUACUGGAGAUCUUGAGUUCGGAAGAGGUUGGUGGAACAGCUAGUGUAGAGGUGAAAUUCGUAGAUAUUAGCUAGAACACCAGUGGCGAAGGCGGCCAACUGGUCCGAUACUGACACUGAGGUGCGAAAGCGUGGGGAGCAAACAGGAUUAGAUACCCGCGUAGUCCCUGUCUCUUAUAC